This is a long non-coding RNA of Lagopus muta (rock ptarmigan), 969 nucleotides long. RefSeq lists it as uncharacterized. The record is from RefSeq and is a predicted model, not a curated record. The transcript is spliced from 6 exons. NCBI's taxonomy places the organism in Eukaryota, Metazoa, Chordata, Aves, Galliformes, Phasianidae.
GUAAAAAGAUGUCAUCAAAGCAAAGACUACUUUAAAACUACAAUGGAGGAAAAAUGAGAGAAAAUACUUCUGAGAAGAUGUCCCCUACUGAUAAAAAAGGUGAAUCUAAGGAAAGUGCAGAAAAAGAGAGAAGCGCCAUUCCAGUGAAUGGAGAAAGAAUCUGAACUGCCCAUAUGGUGAUUUUUCAGGGGAAAGCAGCUCGCAAGAGAUGUACCACUGUAGUGUGAGAUCGAUCUCAUGUGGUGGCAAACAGAUGGAGGCAAGAAACUGGUCAUUCAUCUCCAGCAGCUCAGUGAGACUCUGCAGCAAUCUCUCCCUGGGAGCAGUGGAGAAAGAGAACCGGCCUGCCUUUAAGUAAGAAAAUACCCCAAGGACGCUGGAUCUCAGCAUUAAAUCCAAGCCUCGGGAAACAGCCUCCAUAAGACAAACAAGGAAAGAAAUAAACCCCACUGUUCUGCCAAGGGCAGCCACGUGCUUCCUAUGUCUUCAUUCUCGGAGGGAAUGCUGCUGUCACCAGGAGGAUCCGUGCAAGGAAGAGAGCAAUGAAGCCUCUUCGGACCCAACCAGGUGUCUCUGCAGCUGAACAGCAUUGCCAACACCGUGAGAGAUCUAUAGGCACUUAUCCGAGCUAAAAAUCAGAGCCAAGCUGUGGAAUUAAGGCAGGAAAGCCCACUUCACAGAUGAUGGGGAUGAAAACUCAUAACUCAUCUGUCAGGGGAAGUUGAGCCCCAGCACGGUGUGAUGUGGAGAUGCGGUACAUGACAUCUGGGCACUCCCAGUGCGCUGCCAGCUGCAGCCAUCUGACUGUAAGUGCCAUAGGAUGGGUCCAUAUGCUACCAAGCAGAUAUCACUCCAAGGCAGCUGGGAUGGAUUUCUUAUAUGCUGUGAUGGUUUCUAUCCUUUGCCAGGAAACGUCAAACGGUGCUUGAUGUGUUAAACUGAAAAUUCUGAACAAAAUUCAGCAAGGAA